AGCAGCCGCGGUAAUUCCAGCUCCAAUAGCGUAUAUUAAAGUUGUUGCAGUUAAAAAGCUCGUAGUUGAAUUUCGGGAUCAAUACGUCGGUCAUGCUUUUUGGUACGAACUGGCGUCAUUGGUUUCUCCUUUCUGACGAACCAUGAUGUCAUUAAUUUGGUGUUAUGGGGAGUUUGGGACUGUUACUUUGAAAAAUUAGAGUGUUUAAAGCAGGCAUAAGCUUGAAUACAUUAGCAUGGAAUAAUGAAAUAGGACGUUUGAUCCUAUUUUGUUGGUUUCUAGGAUCAACGUAAUGAUUAAUAGGGAUAGUUGGGGGCAUUAGUAUUCAAUUGUCAGAGGUGAAAUUCUUGGAUUUAUUGAAGACUAACUACUGCGAAAGCAUUUGCCAAGGAUAGUUUUCAUUAAUCAAGAACGAAAGUUAGGGGAUCGAAGACGAUCAGAUACCGUCGUAGUCUUAACCAUAAACUAUGCCGACUAGGGAUCGGAUGAUGUUAAUUUUUAAUGUAACUCAUUCGGCGUC
Molecule: ribosomal RNA, 520 nt
Filed under: uncultured Glomus
Lineage: Eukaryota; Fungi; Glomeromycota; Glomeromycetes; Glomerales; Glomeraceae
Description: SSU rRNA
Rfam family: Eukaryotic small subunit ribosomal RNA
Source: RNAcentral